This 520-nucleotide ribosomal RNA is filed under the name uncultured fungus. RNAcentral's name for it is "SSU rRNA". It matches the Rfam family "Eukaryotic small subunit ribosomal RNA", at positions 20 to 542 of the family's 1831-position model. Lineage: Eukaryota; Fungi. The record is from RNAcentral.
GUAGUCAUAUGCUUGUCUCAAAGAUUAAGCCAUGCAUGUCUAAGUAUAAGUAACUUGUACUGUGAAACUGCGAAUGGCUCAUUAAAUCAGUUAUCGUUUAUUUGAUAGUACCUUACUACAUGGAUACCUGUGGUAAUUCUAGAGCUAAUACAUGCUAAAAACCCCGACUUCAGGAAGGGGUGUAUUUAUUAGAUAAAAAACCAACGCCCUUCGGGGCUCCUUGGUGAAUCAUAAUAACUUAACGAAUCGCAUGGCCUUGCGCCGGCGAUGGUUCAUUCAAAUUUCUGCCCUAUCAACUUUCGAUGGUAGGAUAGUGGCCUACCAUGGUGGCAACGGGUAACGGGGAAUUAGGGUUCGAUUCCGGAGAGGGAGCCUGAGAAACGGCUACCACAUCCAAGGAAGGCAGCAGGCGCGCAAAUUACCCAAUCCCGAUACGGGGAGGUAGUGACAAUAAAUACUGAUACGGGGCUCUUUUGGGUCUCGUAAUUGGAAUGAGAACAAUUUAAAUCCCUUAACGAGG